RNAcentral lists this ribosomal RNA (497 nucleotides) under uncultured bacterium. Its description in RNAcentral is "partial 16S ribosomal RNA". It matches the Rfam family "Bacterial small subunit ribosomal RNA", at positions 28 to 507 of the family's 1533-position model. The record is from RNAcentral.
GAUGAACGCUGGCGGCGUGCCUAAUACAUGCAAGUCGAGCGAACAGACGAGGAGCUUGCUCUUCUGACGUUAGCGGCGGACGGGUGAGUAACACGUGGAUAACCUACCUAUAAGACUGGGAUAACUUCGGGAAACCGGAUCUAAUACCGGAUAAUAUGUUGAACCGCAUGGUUCAAUAGUGAAAGACGGUUUUGCUGUCACUUAUAGAUGGAUCCGCGCCGCAUUAGCUAGUUGGUAAGGUAACGGCUUACCAAGGCAACGAUGCGUAGCCGACCUGAGAGGGUGAUCGCCCACACUGGAACUGAGACACGGUCCAGACUCCUACGGGAGGCAGCAGUAGGGAAUCUUCCGAAAUGGGCGAAAGCCUGACGGAGCAACGCCGCGUGAGUGAUGAAGGUCUUCGGAUCGUAAAACUCUGUUAUUAGGGAAGAACAAAUGUGUAAGUAACUAUGCACGUCUUGACGGUACCUAAUCAGAAAGCCACGGCUAACUACGUG